UAAUCGGGAUGCAGAUGCCUGAAACUCUGC
RNAcentral lists this non-coding RNA (30 nucleotides) under Macaca fascicularis (crab-eating macaque). Lineage: Eukaryota; Metazoa; Chordata; Mammalia; Primates; Cercopithecidae. The record is from RNAcentral. RNAcentral also lists the same sequence under 1 other name.